This 978-nucleotide ribosomal RNA is filed under the name uncultured bacterium. Its description in RNAcentral is "bacterial SSU rRNA". It matches the Rfam family "Bacterial small subunit ribosomal RNA", at positions 8 to 1001 of the family's 1533-position model. The record is from RNAcentral.
AGAGUUUGAUCAUGGCUCAGAAUGAACGUUGGCGGCGUGGAUUAGGCAUGCAAGUCGAGCGAGAACCCCGCAAGGGGGGAAAGCGGCGAAAGGGACAGUAAUGGGUAGAUAUCUGCCCUCGGGUUCGGGAUAGCUGCGGGAAACUGCAGGUAAUACCGAAUAACAUCUCCGGAUCAAAGGUGUGAUUCCGCCCGAGGAUGAGUCUGCCUCCUAUUAGCUAGUUGGUAAGGUAACGGCUUACCAAGGCCAUGAUGGGUAGCAGGUGUGAGAGCACGACCUGCGUCAUUGGGACUGAGACACUGCCCAGACACCUACGGGUGGCUGCAGUCGAGAAUCUUCGGCAAUGGGCGCAAGCCUGACCGAGCGACGCCGCGUGUGGGAUGAAGGCCUUCGGGUUGUAAACCACUGUCAGAGGGGAGGAAAUGCAGGUGGGUACUCCCAUCUGUUUGACCUAGCCUCAGAGGAAGGACGGGCUAAGUUCGUGCCAGCAGCCGCGGUAAGACGAACCGUCCGAACGUUAUUCGGAAUCACUGGGCUUAAAGGGUGCGUAGGCGGCGCGAAAAGUUGGGUGUGAAAUCCCUCGGCUUAACCGAGGAACUGCGCCCAAAACUAUCGUGCUCGAGGGAGAUAGAGGUGAGCGGAACUUAGGGUGGAGCGGUGAAAUGCGUUGAUAUCCUAAGGAACACCGGUGGCGAAAGCGGCUCACUGGAUCUCUUCUGACGCUGAGGCACGAAAGCUAGGGUAGCGAACGGGAUUAGAUACCCCGGUAGUCCUAGCCGUAAACGAUGAGCACUGGAUUGGAGGGUCCUCCAUAGCCUUCCGGUCGCAGCGAAAGUGUUAAGUGCUCCGCCUGGGGAGUAUGGUCGCAAGGCUGAACUCAAAGGAAUUGACGGGGGCUCACACAAGCGUGGAGGAUGUGGCUUAAUUCGAGGCUACGCGAAGAACCUUAUCCUAGUCUUGACAUGCCACGGAUUAGUC